UGGCGGCCAAUGGCCCAGCAGUCAAGAUGGGUGAGCAGAGCAGGCAAAGGUGUUGUAGUGAGGUACUGUUGUGGUGGGGUGUGGUUUUGGCAUCACCUCAAGGUGUGGUUGUCUCAGGUUUUGCAGGAAGUUGUGAAGAGGAGAAGUAGAGUGCUGAGAAGAGCCCGAGCAGGUAUGGUGUGGGCCUUUCCCAAGCGUGGCUGAGGAUUUCAGGUGCCAUGGGCUUCCCCCCAGCCAGGAUGCUGGUGUUUGGAAUUGGCGCAGUUCAGGUGAAGGCAAAUGUGGCAAGCAAAGGAAGAUCGGAG
Molecule: long non-coding RNA, 305 nt
Organism: Dromaius novaehollandiae (emu)
Lineage: Eukaryota; Metazoa; Chordata; Aves; Casuariiformes; Dromaiidae
Exons: 4
Source: RefSeq, a predicted model, not a curated record